This 253-nucleotide ribosomal RNA is filed under the name uncultured bacterium. Its description in RNAcentral is "partial 16S ribosomal RNA". It matches the Rfam family "Bacterial small subunit ribosomal RNA", at positions 524 to 776 of the family's 1533-position model. The record is from RNAcentral.
UACGAAGGGGGCUAGCGUUGCUCGGAAUCACUGGGCGUAAAGCGCACGUAGGCGGACUCUUAAGUCGGUGGUGAAAUCCUGGAGCUCAACUCCAGAACUGCCUUUGAUACUGAGGAGCUUGAGUCCGGGAGAGGUGAGUGGAACUGCGAGUGUAGAGGUGAAAUUCGUAGAUAUUCGCAAGAACACCAGUGGCGAAGGCGGCUCACUGGCCCGGUACUGACGCUGAGGUGCGAAAGCUAGGGGAGCAAACGGG